AUUGAACGCUGGCGGCAUGCCUAACACAUGCAAGUCGAGCGGAGCGGCGGACGGGUGAGUAAUGACUAGGAAUCUGCCUGGUAGUGGGGGAUACCGUCCGGAAAGGGGCGCUAAUACCGCAUACUAUCAGAUCAGCCUCGGUCGGAUUAGCUAGUUGGUGGGGUAAAGGCCUACCAAGGCGACGAUGCGUAACGGGUCGGAGAGGGUGAUCGGUCACACUGGGACUGAGACACGGGCCAGACUCCUACGGGAGGCAGCAGUGGGGAAUCUUGGACAAUGGGCGAAAGCCUGAUCCAGCCAUGCCGCGUGGGUGAAGAAGGGUUUCGGAUUGUAAAGCACUGUAAGUUGGGAGGCGGUACCAACAGAAUAAGCACCGGCUAACUUCGUGCCAGCAGCCGCGGUAAUAC
This 407-nucleotide ribosomal RNA is filed under the name uncultured bacterium. Its description in RNAcentral is "partial 16S ribosomal RNA". It matches the Rfam family "Bacterial small subunit ribosomal RNA", at positions 29 to 526 of the family's 1533-position model. The record is from RNAcentral.